Long non-coding RNA from Monodelphis domestica (gray short-tailed opossum), 5603 nucleotides. RefSeq lists it as uncharacterized. The record is from RefSeq and is a predicted model, not a curated record. NCBI's taxonomy places the organism in Eukaryota, Metazoa, Chordata, Mammalia, Didelphimorphia, Didelphidae.
AUUCCCCCCUUUUCCCGCUUUUAUUUACCUUUUCAUGUUUCUCUUGAUUUUUGUGUUUGGAUAUCAAACUUUCCACUUAGUUCUGGUCUUUUCUUUACAAAUACUUGGAAAUCUUCUAUUUGUUGAAUGCCCAUACUUUCUCCUGGAACUAUAUAGUCAGUCUUGAUGAAUAGGUGAUCCUUGGUUGAAGACCCAAUUCUCUUGCCUUUCUGAAUAUCGUAUUCCAAGCCUUGCAGUCCUUUAGUGUGGAAGCUUCCAGAUCUUGUGUAAUCCUGAUUGGUGCUCCUUGAUAUCUGAAUUGUCUCUUUUUGGCUUCUUAUAAAAUUUUCUCCUUAGCUUGGAAGCUCUUGAAUUUGGCAAUUACAUUGCUGGGAGUUGUCUUUUGAGGAUUUAGUGUAGAGGGUGUUCUAUGAACUCUUUCAAUGUCUAGUUUACCCCCUUGUUCAAGAACAUCAGGGCAGUUUUCUUAGAAUAUUUCUUAUCCUUUGAUGUCAAGAUUUCUGUUUAUUUCUGGGUUUUCAGGUAGACCAAUGAUUCUCAAAUUGUCUCUUCAUGCUCUGUUUUCCUGAUCCAUCAUCUUUUCAAUGAGAUAUUUUAUGUUUUCUUCUAUUUUGUCAGUCUUGUGACUUUGCUUUAUUAAUUCUUGCUGUUUUGCAAGAUUGUUGGCUUUCAAUUGCCUAAUUUUGGUCUUGAAGGACGGGUUUUCCUUUUCAGUUUGGUCUAUCCUGCUUUUUGUGGCUUCCAGCUCUUUCUCCUAUUGGGAGUUCUUGUCCUUUAAACUGUUAUUUUCUUUCUGAACUAUUUCCCACUUUUCUUGCCAGAAGGCUUCCAUCUUUUUGAUAAGCUCCAAUGUAAAUUCUUCAAGAGCUUAUAGACAAUUUCCAUUUUUUGGAAGUUUUUGGUGCAUUUAUUUGUAUUUCCUCUUCUAUUUCCUCUGUAGCCUGGGUUUUUCCUCCAUAAAAAUUAUUCAGGGUCAACCCCAUCUUCUUGUUUUUCUUGGUGUUGGGAAGUUGUUGCUCCUGGCCACUGUUUGCCAUUACUGUUGUGGUCUUUCCUUCCAUUUCCAGUUAGAAAUCUGAGUGAUAUGGGAAGGCUCUCUGUGUAUGGAGCUAAGGAGCAAAGUUUUUGCCUGAGGCCACCUCAUGAAUUUCUGCAGAUUCUGUUGUUUGCUGCCCUUCUCUGUACUAUCUCCCAUGGGCACCCAAGGUCUACUCUCUUCAGCCUGCUGGGGUUUCAAGUCUAACUGCUCUCAGUGGUAGGUUUUUGGUGGUCUUAGUCAGCUUCCAAGGACCUAGAGGUGCCCCUCAGUCACUCUAGAGGUGCCCUCAUUCACUCACUGAUUCUAGUGUGCACUGACUCUGGCUCUGUAGUUGGGGUGGGGAAGAGUUGAUCAACUCGCAUUUUGGUGGAAGCUUUUCCACCCUCUUAUAGUGUGGGAAUGCCCAAAUCCCACAUACCUUCAAUGCUACACCCUACUGUAGAGUCCCUUCGUUCAUAUGAAUUUGGGUUUUUUUGGCUUUUUGAGGUAGUCUGUAUCGGUAGGUGGUGAGGAGAGGAAGAGUCUAGCAUCUAGACUGCCACCAUAUUUACCCAGAUGUGCCCUUCCUAUAUAAAUUCUGAAUUGUGACCAUAUCCUCCAGUUUGAUUAGACACCCCUAAAUCUUAGUUUUGUUAGAAUUUGUAGUAACUGCACACUGUUUUUUUUUUCCAGAUGGAGCAUCUUCCCUAACAAUGUUUUCUAGUUUUUGUCUUACAUUAGCUAUUUUCCUUUUAGCCUAGCCUUGUAUUUAUCCUCUUUAUCUUUCAUAAGAAUCCAGUAUUAGGAGACUGCCCACUUAACUAUUCUUGCCAGUCAUUGUUAGUGAUCUAACUUUUUAUUAUCAGCCUGUUAUUUGUCAUGAAAUAGUGUGAGUAUUGAAAAACCCUAGCUUUGGAGUCAGUUCAAAUUCCAAUUCUUGCUAUGUGACAUUGGGCAAGUUAAUUAACUUUCCUAGGUCUCUCUUCUUCAUCUGUAAAAUGAGGAUGCUUAGACUAGCCAGCCUCAGAGGGCCCUUCCACCUCAAUCUUAUUAUUCUGUGAUGAACUAAACUAUUUAUUUGUAAUGUGGGUCAUAAUAUCAACUAAUAUUUAUUAUGUAAUUGUGUAAUUGGAAUCUGAACCCAAGAACUACAAUUCCCAGCACCCUACUAUUCUCACAUUACAUGCUGAUAUAGGCAGGAUAUAAGUUUUGUGUAGCCCUGCCUCUUGCUUGCUUUUCUUGUGAUCACAGGCAGCUGUGGAUGUGGACUUUUUGAGAGCCAGGAGAACUUACUCAUGUGGGUUUACUUUUAUUAGAUAAUUAGACUUUUAUACUUCUAUUUCUUUUUUAUACCUUCUACUUCAAGUAAUGAUUAAUACACUUUAUAAAAUUAAUACUUGGUGUGUUAGACGUUAAUUUAAAUCUUACAUUUGUGGGCUACUUGAAAGUUUCCAAAGUGCUUUCUAUACUUAUUUGUAUUUUACAAUAACUAUUUGGAAUAGGUGUUUCAGAUGCUAUCAUUACCCUUUAGAAAUUGAGGCUCCUCAGAUAUAAAGUGACUUGCCUAUCAUCAGAGGGGUAGUAAAUUUGAGGGAUAAAAUUUGAGUCAGGUCAGUGAAUUCAAAUCAAAGUCUAUACCCCCAUAAUAUAACAAUGUAUCUCCCUGAAGUAAACACAUAGAUUUCACCACAAAAAUGCAUUUGAAAAAAUAUAGGCCAGAUAGAUAGACUGAAUUGAGGUGGUAGGUUUCUGCUGCUAACAGGGUUGGACUUUAAAAUUAUAUAAUCAUUGAGUUUUAGAUGUGAAAGUGAACAAAGAAAUAAUUUAGUCCAAUUCCCCACCUAUAUGAACAAAUUUAGGACUAUAGUGGGGGGAGCUUGCCCAAGAGCAUACAAUGAAUUGUUCUCCUCCCCUAGAAUAUUUAUGUUUGCAUGUCUUUAAACUUUUAUCCAACAUUUCCAUAAUUAGUAAAAAUUCAUUGAUCCAAUAAAUAAGUGACUACAUUAUUUAUAUCAUAGACACCUUUUAAAAAAACUUUGGUAAUAGUAUGAAACUCUUGCUAACAUUAGAAGCUUUCCUGGUACAAACAGGGAUAAAACAAGUAAGUCCACUCUUAUAUUGUUUGACAUAAUUUUGGAAAUGUUAGCCAUAGCAAAACAAAUUUUUAAAACUCUUAGAGAAAUUAAUGCUAUAAAUUUUGGCAAAAAGGUAAGAUUGGGUCUAUUUGCAGAUAACAUAAUAUAUUUAGAAAACUACUGAGAAUUGGUGAAGAAACCAAUUAUGGUAAUAGCUUAAGCAAGGUAGCAAGAUGCAAAAUAAAACCACAAAAUCAUCAGCAUUUCUUUAUAGCACCAACAAAAAACAAGGAAGAAAUAGUAACAAGAUAUUACGUUCAAAAGAACUACAAAAAACAUAAACUAGAUAUCUGACAAUUCAUUUACAAAACGUGAUUGUUCCUUGUAAACAGAAUGUAAUUAUAUUAACUAUUUUGAUGUAUAGAUUUAAUGCAAUACUAAUUAAGUUAUUGCAGAAAUACAGUUUUAGAACUAGAUAAAAAUAAAUUUAUAUGGUAGAGUAAAAGAUCUAGAAUCUCAAAUGAAUGAGAGAAGUUCAAAUGAAGGGGCCAUAAUAUUAUCAGAUCUCAGACUAUGACAUAAAGCAAAAAUCAUCAAAUAUUUGUUUCUGCUUUAAAGAAAAGAAAAAAUGAUCAUUGAAAUAGACUAGAUUAACAAUAAAGAGAAGCAGUUAAAAAAACAGCAGCCUUUCACUUGAUGAAAGCAUUUGUUUUACAAUUGUUUUGACUAUAUUAUGUACGUGAUAUUUCCUUCAUUAAAAUAAUAUCUCCAAAUGGGACAGAGUUAGGAUUACUUUGCUUAAAUCUCUAUGUGCUCAGUGCCUACUAUUGUGCCUGACACAUAGUAAAUGCUUGAUUCAUAUAAAAGAUCACAUCAUUUAAACACCAGAUAAUAUCAGGUAUCUUCAAUAGCUAUGGCUAGGAGAGGAAUUUUUAUUUAAAUACAAGAAAAGAGAGAUCAUUAAAGAUGUUAGAAAAUUUUGUUGUAUAAGUUAAAGCUUUUUCACUAAUAAAAUCAAUGAAGGUAGACUCUGAAGAGUGAGAAAAUAUUUGUACAAAAUGCCACUGCCAAAAGUCAAACAUCCAAAAUAUAUAUAUUUAUGUAUAUGUUCAUAUAUAUGUAUGUCUAUAUACACACAAAGAAUUUAGAUCAAAAGAUAUAUAUACAUUUAUGACCAAGACAUUCCUCAAUAGACAAGUGAUGAUACAUAUGAAGUUUUCAAAAAUAGGAAUUAAAAAGCCGAAAUGAUGACAUAUUCAGAUCACUAAUGGUGAUAGAAAUGCAAAUUUAAAAAGACUGCUUUUUUUUUUACCUCACACCUUACAAAUUGACAAAAAUGACAGAAGAUAGAGUUAAUAUUAUAGGUGAUGUAAGAGGAAGUGAUUACUGAUGCACUGUUGAUACUUGAGUUACUUUCUAUCCACUGCACCACCUACUUACCCUGGCAAUACCAUUAAUGGGCAACAAUAAAGAAAAAUGUAUUAAAUAUCUACUAUGUUCCACUGUGCCAGGGACUGUGGAUAUAAGUAUGGAUAAAACAAAACCUAUUCACAAGGACCUUAUGUUCUAAUGGAGUAGAAAACAAGGAUAUAACUGAAUUUGCAGUAUAAAUAUAAAGUAAAAAAUAUGCUUUUUAAAGAAGUUAAAUAUAAGGUAGUUUAGGAGGGUGAACACUAGUAUUUGGAGGAAUCAGAAAAGGCUUCAGGUAGAGGAUGAUGCCUGAGCUAGAUCUUCUAGGAAGAGAUGGACUGACAGAAGAAAGGAGAAGAUGCAGUUUAAGAUGUGGGACAGCAAGUACAAAAUCAGGAGAUUUUGCUAAAGAAGCAGAGAACUAUUGAAACUCAGUUUGGCUGGAUCACACAGAGCAUGUGUGUGUGAGAGAGCAAUAUUUAAUGAGGAAUGAAAGCUAGAUUGGGAUCAGGUUGAGUAGGGAUUUAAAAGCUAAACAAAGGAGAUUAUAUUUGAUCUUAAUGGAAAUAAGAAGUCACUGCAGUCAAUUGUUUGGCAACAAUGUGUGGGAUGGGCUGGAGUCAUGAGAGAGUUGAGGGUAGAGAGACUAAUUAGGAGACUUAUAAGGAUCUAGGUGAGAGAGGAUGAGAGACUUGAAUUUGUAGCUGAGCGAGUUUAGAGAUAGGCGUGGAGUGUUAAGAUUUUUUGCCCUAUUGUGCUCUUCUGGGAGACCUUUGAUCCUAAGCCUGAGCAUACAACUGGAAUCUUAAAGGAAAGCUAAUGUAAGGACAGCUGUGAACCGAUUUCCUAAUGUACAGUGGCCAAAGGAGCUGUUGUUCCUCCUUAUCUCUACCUUUGAAAUCAAUAUCUUCCUUCAAAAUCUAGUUCAAGUGCCAUCUCUGCUUGGUAUCUUCCCUGAUUCCCUUUCCACAACAACUAUGACCCCCUACCUGAAGGUGGUCUCCCUCUCCUCAAAUAUUCCUGGAAUACUUGGUCUGGAUAGCUCUCCUAUCUCCUGAAUAAAGUAUUAUAUUAAUGUACAUCCACUAGGAGAAUACAAA